AUUGAACGCUGGCGGAAUGCUUUACACAUGCAAGUCGAACGGCAGCACGGGGCAACCUGGUGGCGAGUGGCGAACGGGUGAGUAAUACAUCGGAACGUGCCCAAUCGUGGGGGAUAACGUAGCGAAAGUUACGCUAAUACCGCAUACGAUCUACGGAUGAAAGCGGGGGAUCGCAAGACCUCGCGCGAAUGGAGCGGCCGAUGUCAGAUUAGGUAGUUGGUGGGGUAAAGGCUCACCAAGCCAAUGAUCUGUAGCUGGUCUGAGAGGACGACCAGCCACACUGGAACUGAGACACGGUCCAGACUCCUACGGGAGGCAGCAGUGGGGAAUUUUGGACAAUGGGCGCAAGCCUGAUCCAGCCAUUCCGCGUGCAGGAUGAAGGCCUUCGGGUUGUAAACGUGCUUUGUACGGUAACGAAACGGUCUGCCCUAAUACGGCGGCUAAUGACGGUACCGUAAGAAUAAGACACCGGCUAACUACGUAGCCAGCAGCCGCGGUAAAACGU
This 505-nucleotide ribosomal RNA is filed under the name uncultured bacterium. RNAcentral describes it as "bacterial SSU rRNA". It matches the Rfam family "Bacterial small subunit ribosomal RNA", at positions 30 to 528 of the family's 1533-position model. The record is from RNAcentral.